GACGAACGCUGGCGGCGUGCUUAACACAUGCAAGUCGAACGGAAAGGCCCUGCUUUUGUGGGGUGCUCGCGUGGCGAGCGGGUGAGUAACACGUGAGUAACCUGCCCUUGACUUUGGGAUAACUUCAGGAAACUGGGGAUAAUACCGGAUAGGUGCUCCUGCUCCAUGGUGGGGGUUGGAAAGUUUCGGCGGUUGGGGAUGGACUCGCGGCUUAUCAGCUUGUUGGUGGGGUAGUGGCUUACCAAGGCUUUGACGGGUAGCCGGCCUGGGAGGGUGACCGGCGACAUUGUGACAGAGAUACGGCCCAGACUCCUACGGGAGGCAGAAGAGGGGAAUAUUGCACAAUGGGCGAAAACCUGAUGCAGCAACGCCGCGUGCGGGAUAACGGCCUUCGGGGUGUAAACCGCUUUCGCCUGUGACGAAGCGUGAGUGACGGUAAUGGGUAAAGAAGCACCGGCUAACUACGUG
This 468-nucleotide ribosomal RNA is filed under the name uncultured bacterium. RNAcentral's name for it is "partial 16S ribosomal RNA". It matches the Rfam family "Bacterial small subunit ribosomal RNA", at positions 28 to 507 of the family's 1533-position model. The record is from RNAcentral.